This 114-nucleotide ribosomal RNA is filed under the name uncultured bacterium. RNAcentral's name for it is "partial 16S ribosomal RNA". It matches the Rfam family "Bacterial small subunit ribosomal RNA", at positions 1369 to 1482 of the family's 1533-position model. The record is from RNAcentral.
CGUUCCCGGGUCUUGUACACACCGCCCGUCACACCAUGGGAGUGGGUUUUACCAGAAGUAGUUAGCCUAACCGCAAGGGGGGCGAUUACCACGGUAGGAUUCAUGACUGGGGUG